Molecule: small RNA, 27 nt
Filed under: Bombyx mori (domestic silkworm)
Lineage: Eukaryota; Metazoa; Arthropoda; Insecta; Lepidoptera; Bombycidae
Description: ovarian small RNA-21333
Source: RNAcentral
UACUAUGGUAAAUACUUGAGUGUACAA